This 587-nucleotide ribosomal RNA is filed under the name uncultured bacterium. Its description in RNAcentral is "bacterial SSU rRNA". It matches the Rfam family "Bacterial small subunit ribosomal RNA", at positions 338 to 916 of the family's 1533-position model. The record is from RNAcentral.
CCUACGGGAGGCAGCAGUGGGGAAUUUUGGACAAUGGGCGCAAGCCUGAUCCAGCCAUGCCGCGUGUGUGAAGAAGGCCUUCGGGUUGUAAAGCACUUUCGGCCGGAACGAAAUCGCGCGGGUUAAUAGUCCGCGUGGAUGACGGUACCGGAAGAAGAAGCACCGGCUAACUACGUGCCAGCAGCCGCGGUAAUACGUAGGGUGCGAGCGUUAAUCGGAAUUACUGGGCGUAAAGGGUGCGCAGGCGGCGUCGCAAGUCAGGCGUGAAAUCCCCGGGCUUAACCUGGGAAUGGCACUUGAAACUACGAUGCUGGAGUAUGGCAGAGGGAGGUGGAAUUCCACGUGUAGCGGUGAAAUGCGUAGAGAUGUGGAGGAACACCGAUGGCGAAGGCAGCCUCCUGGGCCAAUACUGACGCUCAUGCACGAAAGCGUGGGGAGCAAACAGGAUUAGAUACCCUGGUAGUCCACGCCCUAAACGAUGAUGACUAGUUGUUGGAGGAGUUAAAUCCUUUAGUAACGCAGCUAACGCGAGAAGUCAUCCGCCUGGGGAGUACGGUCGCAAGAUUAAAACUCAAAGGAAUUGACGG